GACGAACGCUGGCGGCGUGCUUAACACAUGCAAGUCGAACGGGACGGCCCUGCUUUUGUCGGGUGGUGGAGGUGGCGAACGGGGGGGAAAACGGGAGUUAACCUGCCCUUCCUUUCGGGUAAACCGAUGGAAAGGGGGGCAAUACCGGGUAGGAGUUGCUGUUCCGCAGGGGGGGGUGGGGAAUGUCUCCCGUUUGGGGUGCGCUGGUGGGGGAUGGGCUUGUGGGUGGGGAGCUGGCUGGUGGGGGGAUGGCCUGCCAAGGCGUUGACGGGGGGCCGGCCUGAGAGGGUGGCCGGCCACAUUGGGACUGCGAUACGGCCCAGACUGCUACGGGAGGCAGCAGUGGGGAAUAUUGCACAAUGGGCGGAAGCCUGAUGCAGCGACGCCGCGUGCGGGGUGACGGCCUUCGGGUUGUAAACCGCUUUCGCCUGUGACGAAGCGUGAGUGACGGUAAUGGGUAAAGAAGCACCGGCUAACUACGUG
Molecule: ribosomal RNA, 483 nt
Filed under: uncultured bacterium
Lineage: Bacteria
Description: partial 16S ribosomal RNA
Rfam family: Bacterial small subunit ribosomal RNA
Source: RNAcentral